This 253-nucleotide unclassified non-coding RNA is filed under the name uncultured Rhodobacterales bacterium. RNAcentral's name for it is "contains 16S-23S intergenic spacer region". It matches the Rfam family "Bacterial small subunit ribosomal RNA", at positions 524 to 776 of the family's 1533-position model. The record is from RNAcentral. Lineage: Bacteria; Pseudomonadati; Pseudomonadota; Alphaproteobacteria; Rhodobacterales.
UACGGAGGGGGCUAGCGUUGAUCGGAAUUACUGGGCGUAAAGCGCGCGUAGGCGGAUUGGAAAGUUGGGUGUGAAAUCCCAGGGCUCAACCCUGGAACUGCCUCCAAAACUAUCAGUCUGGAGUUUGAGAGAGGGGAGUGGAAUUCCGAGUGUAGAGGUGAAAUUCGUAGAUAUUCGGAGGAACACCAGUGGCGAAGGCGGCUCACUGGCCAGAUACUGACGCUGAGGUGCGAAAGUGUGGGGAGCAAACAGG